Molecule: transfer RNA, 76 nt
Filed under: Acidobacteriota bacterium
Lineage: Bacteria; Pseudomonadati; Acidobacteriota
Also listed under: 1 other name
Description: Acidobacteria bacterium tRNA-OTHER
Rfam family: tRNA
About the family: Transfer RNA (tRNA) molecules are approximately 80 nucleotides in length. Their secondary structure includes four short double-helical elements and three loops (D, anti-codon, and T loops).
Source: RNAcentral
GCCCGCGUAGCUCAACCGGAAGAGCGAAACCCGCGGUGAGGGUCUUAUGCGAGUUCAAAUCUCGUCGCGGGCUCCA